This is a non-coding RNA of Thamnophis sirtalis, 999 nucleotides long. Lineage: Eukaryota; Metazoa; Chordata; Lepidosauria; Squamata; Natricidae. The record is from RefSeq and is a predicted model, not a curated record.
GGCAAGCCUGCCCAUUGUUUGGCAACUCAGCUUCCUGCCCCGGCACAAAUGGGAAAACAAACAGCAGGUCUGGGUGGCAUCUGUUGAACUAGAAGAGAGAAAGCAUCAAAGGAGGCAAGGAGGGCGGAGGCAGAUACCAAGAGCCAGUUACUGCAUCAACAUCCGCUCCCUUUCAAUCAGGCAGGAAAGACAGUUCUUAUAUAGUUUGGAUGGCAUCAACUGUCCAAGAGUAGGAGGCUGAGAGAGAACUGAAGCUCGCUGGAGUACAAGUCAUCUUUAGAAUGAAAACUCCAAAGAAUGUGCACUUCCUUUCUGACCAAUAAAAAUAUCUCCGUACAACCUGUUUCAGCAGAAGGCAUAAUUACAUCCACUCUCCACCACCAUGCAAAUGAAAGCAGAUUCGUGAACUGCUAUGCUGCAAAAUAAAUAACUUGAAGACAUAAGAUCUUUGGAAGAUGAAGUUGAACAGACAAAAAUUAUAAAAUUGAAAUUCCUUUGGGCUUUGUGUAUUUUUGUGUAUUCUUUAGUGUACUCAUUAGGGCAAUGUAUUUUGCCACCAACUUUGUUAGUAGCCUAAAUGCCCAGUUUGAUACUUUAUUUAGAAACCUCUGUCUGGGAAUAACACCAAUAUUAUACAUUCUGUGUUUUCCAUGACAUACAGAGUUGGAUCCUUCUUAAGUAUACGCAGAAACCUCAAGUUGUUAGUAGUAAGAAGCAUUUUACUAAAGAAACAUUCAAAAUCAUGUUGCAAGAAAAAAAAUCUGUGAAUGGACUGAAUUAAGCAAAACAGUUGAAAUUCAGAGGAAAUUUUACAACAGAUGUAACUGUCCUAAACUCUCACAUCAUUUGGACUCUAUUUAAGAUCGAGGAACUCUAAUCAUUGGCCAUGCCUGUUGGGAGUUGUAUUUCACAAGUAUCUACAAUGUCUCAGAUUUUCCACUUCUGCCUCAACCCAACCAGUAAGCAAUUUCUUGAAUGUAGCAAGAACAUUUCUACAUC